RNAcentral lists this long non-coding RNA (548 nucleotides) under Capra hircus (goat). Its description in RNAcentral is "lncRNA (ENSCHIG00000005696.1)". The record is from RNAcentral. Lineage: Eukaryota; Metazoa; Chordata; Mammalia; Artiodactyla; Bovidae.
CCGGACUUCCGGGCUGAGCAGCCUCUGCUUCCGGGCAGGACUCAGCCAAUGUAGACCAAGAUGUCGUCUUCCCGUGUUGCCUCCAGAGCAGUCACUUUUGGAGAUUCAUCUGAAGUAAGUGCAUCUGAAGAAACUCUCAUAACGCUUGGGAGAGCAAGAUGAUUGUCGAAGAUGCAAGGUGAAACGUUUCGACUAUCACGUUUCAAAAGCAGAGGGCGUGAUUGGAAGUUACAAAGUUAUGUUCCUAAUAUCCAAAAGUACUGGAUUUGAAUAGUCCCAUUAAAAAAAAAAAAGCCAGGAUAGUUUUAACAGGAAUGCUUCACUUUCACAUUAAAAGAGUGAAGAUGAAAAUGUGGUCGGAUGAUGGGUAAAGGAUUCCCUUUCAGACACAUGUGCUGAAGUUGGAGUUGAGCUAGGUGGUUCUCUGGGUCUUUGAGAAACCUACCGGAAAGUGCCAUGAUCCCCAGAGAGGAAAACCUCUCAGUAAGUACAGUGUUUUAUUAUCUUGACACUUUGAGAUGUUCUUAACUGCAAUCAUUUAAAAGAGG